AGAUUGGGACACACAAGAUCACCAAUAGAUCUUAACCUCCCUCUAUAUAAGAAACCUACCCCUCUCAUUAUUCUGGCCUGCAUAUUAAUUUACACACAUACAAAUUCUAAACAGCCUCUCAUUUUCACUCUCAUCCUCUCUCGGUCACACUCACUGAGCAAAUAAACACAGGGACCUCAUGUCCUCAAAUACUCAAGCAAACAAGAACCUGCUCUACUCUCAUCUCUCUUCUCCGGCUUCGGCUCUGGCAACCGGAGUGACGCCAUCUACCGGGUUCUAUUUCUAUCCUCUAUAACACCCACACCCCCUUUCUGUUAUAUACCCCCCCCCCCUCGACAGAUCAAGUAACGACCACCACCAUCGGGUGGUGGUAAGUGUUGAGCACUGAAACAAGAAGAGAGAGAGGAGAGAAUCGAGAGAGAGAAAGAGAAAGAAGGCGGAGAAGGGAGCGGCGCCGCCGCUCACGGCGGCGGCAAUGGAGGAGGCGGCGGGACGAUGGGUUUACCGGAGAUAACCAGAGAGAGAGAGAGAGGGAGAACCGGCGGUCAAAGGCUCGGACCGCCGGUCGGUUCGUUUAUCCGGUGGUCAGCAGGAUAUCCGGUGGGUUUCGCGGCAGCCGUUUCCACCCGACAGAAGCUCCGAAGUCAACGGCUGGUCAACCUUCGGUUCGGGUUCUCGGUCAAGUUCGAGUCCAGAUCAGACACAAGUUCGAGCGUUUGGUUCAUGCUCGGGAGUCUCGGGUCAGAAUUUCGGGUUCAACAUCAAGCGUUGGAGUGGGUAUCAAUUCAAGUCUCGUUUCAGUUCAAGAGAUGAACUCGGUUUAGUUCAGAUUUGCGAUUCAGAUUAUGUUUCGUUUCAGGUCAACGUUAGUCAGCAGGUUCAGUUGACUCGGUCAAACCCGAGUCAACUCGGUCAACACAGUCAAACCGAGUCAACUGAGUUGACUCGGUCAGUUCAGUUAAGCGGCUCGACUUUUCGGCGUAAUGACUUGGUAAAGAUUAACGACACGAUUGCUUUGUUAUUUUUAUAGUUUUAUAUAUACGCGAAAACGAGCUUGAACCGAAUAAAAUCGACGAAAUCAUUAGUUAAAAAUACUCGAAUUAUUA
Molecule: long non-coding RNA, 1106 nt
Organism: Helianthus annuus (common sunflower)
Lineage: Eukaryota; Viridiplantae; Streptophyta; Magnoliopsida; Asterales; Asteraceae
Exons: 2
Source: RefSeq, a predicted model, not a curated record